Long non-coding RNA from Mastomys coucha (southern multimammate mouse), 265 nucleotides. RefSeq lists it as uncharacterized. The transcript is spliced from 2 exons. The record is from RefSeq and is a predicted model, not a curated record. NCBI's taxonomy places the organism in Eukaryota, Metazoa, Chordata, Mammalia, Rodentia, Muridae.
UUCCCCAAUAUCUUUCAUCAUAUUAUCCAGUCUGUUAUCCUAUGUGGAUCAAGCAUCCUACAAAUGCUUCUGUAUAUCCCACUUUGACAAGCAGGAAUUAAGGGAAGUCUGAAGAACCAAAUAAGAUUUUGAAGGAACAACAGAAUAUCGAUGGAAAUUCACUUGACUCUAUGAUACAUGUACAUGAAAAAUGAAUCUAAAAUUCCCAGAAUUCCUGUCCAGUCAUUAUAGCAUUAUGUUUAAUUAAUCUGCUCUCUACUUGAAU